AGAGAGAGACAUGCGCGCAUAUCAAUAAGCGGAGGAAAAGAAACUAACAAGGAUUCCCCUAGUAACGGCGAGUGAAGCGGGAAGAGCUCAAAUUUGAAAUCUUAAAGGGUUUCCCUUUACGAAUUGUAGUUUAAAGAAGUGUUUUCUGUUGAGGUUUUGGUAAAAGUUCUUUGGAAUAGGACAUCAUAGAGGGUGAGAAUCCCGUAUUUGACCUUUACUUUCAACUUUGUGAUACACUUUCAAAGAGUCGGAUUGUUUGGGAAUGCAGUCCAAAAUGGGUGGUAAAUUUCAUCUAAAGCUAAAUAUUGGCGAGAGACCGAUAGCGAACAAGUACCGUGAGGGAAAGAUGAAAAGAACUUUGAAAAGAGAGUUAAACAGUACGUGAAAUUGUCAAAAGGGAAGCGUUCGACACCAGUGUUGUUUUUCUGAAAAUCAAUUAAAGAACUGUUUAUGCUAAGCUGUUUAGACUUUAUCAGCUAUCUGUUUAGUUUUGAGCUUUUCUUUAAUGCACUUUUCAGUUAACAAGUCAACAUCAAUUUCUUUUGCUGUAAAAAAGCUUGAGGAAGGUGGCUUGAGAUUCGUCUUAAGUGUUUAUAGCCUCUUGCCUAUGCAGUCGGAGAGAUUGAGGUCUGCAGCGUAGAUCCUUCGGGGCUAAAUGCAUUUGUGCUAAGUUAUAGCAUUUUAUAGACAACUUGUUGACUAUGAUUUGUCUUGUAGCUUACUCGCUUAUGUUAUUUUACCUACGCUUAGGAUGUUGACGCAUGAGAUAUACGC
RNAcentral lists this ribosomal RNA (774 nucleotides) under uncultured Neocallimastigales. Its description in RNAcentral is "partial large subunit ribosomal RNA". It matches the Rfam family "Eukaryotic large subunit ribosomal RNA", at positions 23 to 634 of the family's 3401-position model. The record is from RNAcentral. Lineage: Eukaryota; Fungi; Neocallimastigomycota; Neocallimastigomycetes; Neocallimastigales.